GAUGAAGAACGUAGUGAAAUGCGAUACUUGGUGUGAAUUGCAGAAUCCCGUGAACCAUCGAGUCUUUGAACGCAAGUUGCGCCCGAAGCCAUUAGGCCGAGGGCACGCCUGCCUGGGCGUCACACGUCGUUGCCCCCCCAUCUACUCCUUCGGGAUUGCGGGGGGCGGAUGAUGGCCUCCCGUGCGCCUCGUCGCGCGGUUGGCAUAAAUGCCAAGUCCUCGGCGACGCACGCCACGACAAUCGGUGGUUGCGAAACUUCGGUUGCCCGUCGUGUGCGGUCGUCGCGCAUCGAGGGCUCGAAAAAAUUGUCGGGCUCCGGCUCGGCUUUCAACGCGACCCCAGGUCAGGCGGGGUUACCCGCUGAAUUUAAGCAUAUCAAUAAGCGGAGGA
This 391-nucleotide unclassified non-coding RNA is filed under the name soil metagenome. RNAcentral describes it as "partial contains 5.8S ribosomal RNA, internal transcribed spacer 2, and large subunit ribosomal RNA". The stretch from base 1 to 122 matches the Rfam family "5.8S ribosomal RNA", at positions 35 to 154 of the family's 154-position model. The record is from RNAcentral.